AAUAGAUACCCAGGUAGUCCACGCCGUAAACGAUGAGUGCUAAGUGUUAGAGGGUUUCCGCCCUUUAGUGCUGCAGCUAACGCAUUAAGCACUCCGCCUGGGGAGUACGGCCGCAAGGCUGAAACUCAAAGGAAUUGACGGGGGCCCGCACAAGCGGUGGAGCAUGUGGUUUAAUUCGAAGCAACGCGAAGAACCUUACCAGGUCUUGACAUCCUCUGCCAACCCUAGAGAUAGGGCGUUCCCCUUCGGGGGACAGAGUGACAGGUGGUGCAUGGUUGUCGUCAGCUCGUGUCGUGAGAUGUUGGGUUAAGUCCCGCAACGAGCGCAACCCUUGAUCUUAGUUGCCAGCAUUCAGUUGGGCACUCUAAGGUGACUGCCGGUGACAAACCGGAGGAAGGUGGGGAUGACGUCAAAUCAUCAUGCCCCUUAUGACCUGGGCUACACACGUGCUACAAUGGAUGGUACAAAGAGCUGCGAACCCGGCGGGGGUAAGCGAAUCUCAUAAAGCCAUUCUCAGUUCGGAUUGUAGG
RNAcentral lists this ribosomal RNA (530 nucleotides) under uncultured bacterium. RNAcentral's name for it is "bacterial SSU rRNA". It matches the Rfam family "Bacterial small subunit ribosomal RNA", at positions 777 to 1304 of the family's 1533-position model. The record is from RNAcentral.